GACAGAGGUCUCGAGCGUUGUUCGGAUUCAUUGGGCGUAAAGGGUGCGUAGGCUGCGGGGCAAGUCUGAUGUGAAAUCCUGGGGCUCAACCCCAGAACUGCAUUGGAUACUGCUUUGCUAGAGUACUGGAGAGGAGACUGGAAUUUACGGUGUAGCAGUGAAAUGCGUAGAGAUCGUAAGGAAGACCAGUGGCGAAGGCGAGUCUCUGGACAGUUCCUGACGCUGAGGCACGAAGGUCAGGGGAGCAAACGGG
Molecule: ribosomal RNA, 253 nt
Filed under: uncultured bacterium
Lineage: Bacteria
Description: partial 16S ribosomal RNA
Rfam family: Bacterial small subunit ribosomal RNA
Source: RNAcentral